UAGCAGACAACGCGACAAUCAUUUUCCUCCUCCAACCCCCAUAACCACUGCCCGAGAAGGGAGUGGACACAAGAGAAACUCCAGGAACAUUAGAGGAGUAAACAAAAAGGGGGCUGGUAGAGUCCACUGAGGAGGUAUUAACAUUCAUAUUAGAAGUCAUGAACAAUAACCAGUUUGAAAUAAAAAACAGACUCAGUAAACAGGCUAAAGUUGAAUCAGAACCCACAUGCAAAAUAUACAACACUAAGAACAAGGAUAGAGUUACCCUCCUUCUUCGCGACCGGAGAAGAAACGGCCUUCAAUCGCCAGAUAAAUCCCUAGGUCCGACCACCGGAAACUGUAGGGUAUGGAAACUUACCGGAAUAGGGUCGUGACAUCGGAAAAUCACCCAAAACAUCCACCGAGUGAGGAUCGAGCCAUCGGAUAGCAGUAAAACCCUAGGUCUAACCACCGGAAACCCUAGAAUCUGGAAAGUCACCGAAAUAGGGUCAGGGAUGUCGGAAAAUCACCCAAAAUAUCCACUGAGUGAAGAUCGAAGCAUCAAAUAACAGUAAAAGUUCCGAUUACCUGUUCAAUACACAUCGCUCUCUCGGUAAACAGAAUCUCUCACAAAUAUCCAGAGAAAAACCUUCAAUAGGACUUCUAACACGAUCGAUAACAAGUAACGGAGAAGAAUCCGAGGAUCAUCCCGCUCUGAUACCAUGAUAAGAACGGACCUUAAGCCUAACUCAACCCCAAAAACUAGCUUAUGAGGUGAGGAUUGCCCAAGCCAUAUAAGGAGAC
RNAcentral lists this long non-coding RNA (783 nucleotides) under Nicotiana benthamiana. Its description in RNAcentral is "long non-coding RNA (NBEN_LNC018330)". The record is from RNAcentral. Lineage: Eukaryota; Viridiplantae; Streptophyta; Magnoliopsida; Solanales; Solanaceae.